GAGGUGGAGGGCUGUGGCAACAAAGGAGUGCUUGUGGUAACAUAGGAGCAGCUGGCCAAGCCCAGAUAUGUUAAACAGCUGUAGCCCUUUGAGCUAAGGGGAUGGAAGUGACUUCCACCUUAGAUGUCUCUGGGAGGCAACUCCCCCUGGUUACAAAGCCUGCAUGACAGCUUGGAGAAGAUUGGCUCCAUGCCAUGGGACCACACUUGCCCAGACUUACUAUGGCAGCCAGGUCAUCUUUGCCUACUUCAUGGGAAGACUCUGCCUGAGAAUGAAGCCAAUACAGCAGAGAAAAGCUGACAGAAAUUCCUGAUAAAAUCUUUUACAUUCCCUGAUCCAGCCCUGCCCUACUAGCAAUGUAAUAUGGCACUGACAUUGGGACUUAAAAUGGUUUGAUUUAGGUUUUUAUCUGUGGGUUAUGAAAAUCCUUAUCAAUAUAAUGAUACAAAUGCAGGUAAUUGUGUGGACUGCUACAUUUCACAAUCAUGCUGUGUGAAAACCCCAGGACUGCGAACUCUUUCAUUCUCUCACUCCUAUGACCCUGGCUCUUUCACCUCUAGUCCAUUCCCUCUUUUCUCCAGUACAAGUAAGCUCAUCUCAGUCACUUGAUUUCCAACCAUUUGCUCCCUCCUGGACUUGACUUCUUUCAUACCUGACCUUUGAACCCACAAGCCCAGGUCAAGCCUACCUCUGCCUUCUACACUGGCUAAUGAAGGCUGCUAUAUAUGUUAGCAGAUAAUUAUUCAGUGGUUCCAUGGAACUAUUUCAUGGUUAUGGUUUUCAGCUUCAGCUGAGCACUCAGAGCUGCCCAACUAUUAUUUUAUUAGUUAGGAUAUUAACUUGGCUGCAGCCACAGAGAGAUACAAAGUAAUAGUUAACAAAUAGGAUAGAAGUUACUUUUUCUCACAUAAGGUCCAAGCAGGUAUUCUACCUGGUGAGUGUUGAGAUCUGGGAAAUUGAGAACAUAGCCUGACCACAGCAAAACAGGAAGAAGGAACAGCAUGCAAACAAAGGCUGAGCAGACAUCCUGCAGUAUGUAAGUGUUCCACUCAGAGCAAAACAGGCUGAUUGUAAUCUGCUUAGCUUUGAAUUUUGAAACCCCACCCUGUUCCCAUGCGAGGUCUCUGUCAGCAAACAGCUAACUGCCACGUCUGCUUCUGUUCAACGCUUGCUUGCUCGCCCCUAUAUAAGGACUUAGCUGUAAGUGCUCGGCGCGACUCCCAUCUGCAGCCCUCUGGGCACCGUGUCUCAGGACACUCCGAGAGUUCGCCCCUGCGCAGGUUAAGCUUGGCCAAUAAAAUAAGA
Long non-coding RNA from Artibeus jamaicensis (Jamaican fruit-eating bat), 1305 nucleotides. RefSeq lists it as uncharacterized. The transcript is spliced from 3 exons. Lineage: Eukaryota; Metazoa; Chordata; Mammalia; Chiroptera; Phyllostomidae. The record is from RefSeq and is a predicted model, not a curated record.